UAAUACGUAGGGUGCAAGCGUUGUCCGGAAUCAUUGGGCGUAAAGCGCGCGUAGGUGGUCAUGUAAGUCCGCUGUGAAAGUCAAAGGCUCAACCUUUGAAAGCCGGUGGAUACUGCAUGACUAGAGUACGGAAGAGGCGAGUGGAAUUCCUGGUGUAGCGGUGGAAUGCGCAGAUAUCAGGAGGAACACCAAUAGCGAAGGCAGCUCGCUGGGACGUUACUGACACUGAGGCGCGAAAGCGUGGGGAGCGAACAGGAUUAGAUACCCUGGUAGUCCACGCCGUAAACGAUGGGUACUAGGUGUGGGAGGUGUCGACUCCUCCCGUGCCGUCGCUAACGCACUAAGUACCCCGCCUGGGGAGUACGGCCGCAAGGCUA
RNAcentral lists this ribosomal RNA (377 nucleotides) under uncultured bacterium. RNAcentral describes it as "bacterial SSU rRNA". It matches the Rfam family "Bacterial small subunit ribosomal RNA", at positions 521 to 896 of the family's 1533-position model. The record is from RNAcentral.